This 422-nucleotide ribosomal RNA is filed under the name Lycogala epidendrum. RNAcentral's name for it is "partial small subunit ribosomal RNA". It matches the Rfam family "Eukaryotic small subunit ribosomal RNA", at positions 103 to 436 of the family's 1831-position model. The record is from RNAcentral. Lineage: Eukaryota; Evosea; Eumycetozoa; Liceales; Enteridiidae.
AUAUCUGUUGUCACCUAUCGUGGUAAAUAAGGCGUGGAUAGAGCACGGAAAAGCUGUGUAUAACACAGCAAAGGCGGGGUUCUCCGCUGCCCGUUGGCAUGGGCAGUAGGGUUAAGUGGGCCCAUAUCCGUGGGCCCCACCUCAUCAACGGCUCUCAAAGUACUUCCCGGGACUAAAUACCCCGAGGUGGGAAACAGAGGCCUCUGCCACCGGACAUCGCUACCAUUUGCCCCUACGGGGGGUCGGUCUUGUCUGGGCACCCGGCAGAGCCCAUCCACAAGCGCACGAUGGACUUCAGACCUAUCAGCUAGACGGUAGGGUAUUGGCCUACCGUGGCGAUGACGGGUACAGAGGAUUAGGGUUUGAUCCUGGAGAGGUAGCCUGAGAAAUCGCUCCCACUUCUAAGGAAGGCAGCAGGCGCG